CGAAGGGGGCAAGCGUUGUUCGGAAUUACUGGGCGUAAAGGGCGCGUAGGCGGUGCACUAAGUCAGGCGUGAAAGCCCUGGGCUCAACCCGGGAAUUGCGCUUGAUACUGGUGCGCUUGAAUCCAGGAGAGGUUGGUGGAAUUCCCAGUGUAGAGGUGAAAUUCGUAGAGAUUGGGAAGAACACCGGUGGCGAAGGCGGCCAACUGGACUGGUAUUGACGCUGAGGCGCGAAAGCGUGGGGAGCAAACAGGAUUAGAUACCCUGGUAGUCCUCGCUGUAAACGAUGUGUGCUAGCCGUUGGGGCUCUUAGAGCCUCGGUGGCGUCGCUAACGCUUUAAGCACACCGCCUGGGGAGUACGGUCGCAAGAUUA
RNAcentral lists this ribosomal RNA (371 nucleotides) under uncultured organism. RNAcentral describes it as "bacterial SSU rRNA". It matches the Rfam family "Bacterial small subunit ribosomal RNA", at positions 526 to 896 of the family's 1533-position model. The record is from RNAcentral.